This 763-nucleotide ribosomal RNA is filed under the name uncultured Actinomycetes bacterium. RNAcentral describes it as "bacterial SSU rRNA". It matches the Rfam family "Bacterial small subunit ribosomal RNA", at positions 61 to 835 of the family's 1533-position model. The record is from RNAcentral. Lineage: Bacteria; Bacillati; Actinomycetota; Actinomycetes.
GUCGAACGAUGAAGCUGGAGCUUGCUCCGGCCGAUUAGUGGCGAACGGGUGAGUAACACGUGAGCAAUCUGCCCUUGACUCUGGGAUAACUGCGGGAAACUGUAGCUAAUACCGGAUACUUUCCUCGCUGGGCAUCCAGCGGGGAAGAAAGAAUUUCGGUCAAGGAUGAGCUCGCGGCCUAUCAGCUAGUUGGUGAGGUAAAGGCUCACCAAGGCGACGACGGGUAGCCGGCCUGAGAGGGUGACCGGCCACACUGGAACUGAGACACGGUCCAGACUCCUACGGGAGGCAGCAGUGGGGAAUAUUGCACAAUGGGCGAAAGCCUGAUGCAGCAACGCCGCGUGAGGGAUGAAGGCCUUCGGGUUGUAAACCUCUUUUAGCAGGGAAGAAGCGAAAGUGACGGUACCUGCAGAAAAAGCACCGGCUAACUACGUGCCAGCAGCCGCGGUAAUACGUAGGGUGCAAGCGUUGUCCGGAAUUAUUGGGCGUAAAGAGCUCGUAGGCGGUUUGUCACGUCUGCUGUGAAAAUCCGAGGCUCAACCUCGGACUUGCAGUGGGUACGGGCAGGCUAGAGUGCGGUAGGGGAGAAGGGAAUUCCUGGUGUAGCGGUGGAAUGCGCAGAUAUCAGGAGGAACACCAAUGGCGAAGGCACUUCUCUGGGCCGUAACUGACGCUGAGGAGCGAAAGCGUGGGGAGCGAACAGGAUUAGAUACCCUGGUAGUCCACGCCGUAAACGGUGGGUGCUAGCUGUGGGCCACAUUCC